RNAcentral lists this ribosomal RNA (561 nucleotides) under Schwanniomyces occidentalis. Its description in RNAcentral is "eukaryotic LSU rRNA". It matches the Rfam family "Eukaryotic large subunit ribosomal RNA", at positions 53 to 630 of the family's 3401-position model. Lineage: Eukaryota; Fungi; Ascomycota; Pichiomycetes; Serinales; Debaryomycetaceae. The record is from RNAcentral.
GAGGAAAAGAAACCAACAGGGAUUGCCUUAGUAACGGCGAGUGAAGCGGCAAAAGCUCAAAUUUGAAAUCUGGCACCUUCGGUGUCCGAGUUGUAAUUUGAAGAAGGUAACUUUGGGAUUGGCUCUUGUCUAAGUUCCUUGGAACAGGACGUCACAGAGGGUGAGAAUCCCGUGCGAUGAGAUGACCAAUCCUAUGUAAAGUGCUUUCGAAGAGUCGAGUUGUUUGGGAAUGCAGCUCUAAGUGGGUGGUAAAUUCCAUCUAAAGCUAAAUAUUGGCGAGAGACCGAUAGCGAACAAGUACAGUGAUGGAAAGAUGAAAAGAACUUUGAAAAGAGAGUGAAAAAGUACGUGAAAUUGUUGAAAGGGAAGGGCUUGAGAUCAGACUUGGUAUUUUGCAUUCCUUACCUUCGUGGUGGGGUUCCUUGCAGUUUACUGGGCCAGCAUCGGUUUGGAUGGUGGGAUAAUGACAUUGGAAUGUGGCUCUGCUUCGGUAGAGUGUUAUAGCCAGUGUUGAUACCGCCUGUCUAGACCGAGGACUGCGUCUUUGACUAGGAUGCUGGC